Molecule: ribosomal RNA, 467 nt
Filed under: uncultured bacterium
Lineage: Bacteria
Description: partial 16S ribosomal RNA
Rfam family: Bacterial small subunit ribosomal RNA
Source: RNAcentral
GACGAACGCUGGCGGCGUGCUUAACACAUGCAAGUCGAACGGAAAGGCCCUGCUUUUGUGGGGUGCUCGAGUGGCGAACGGGUGAGUAACACGUGAGUAACCUGCCCUUGACUUUGGGAUAACUUCAGGAAACUGGGGCUAAUACCGGAUAGGAGCUCCUGCUGCAUGGUGGGGGUUGGAAAGUUUCGGCGGUUGGGGAUGGACUCGCGGCUUAUCAGCUUGUUGGUGGGGUAGUGGCUUACCAAGGCUUUGACGGGUAGCCGGCCUGAGAGGGUGACCGGCCACAUUGGGACUGAGAUACGGCCCAGACUCCUACGGGAGGCAGCAGUGGGGAAUAUUGCACAAUGGGCGGAAGCCUGAUGCAGCAACGCCGCGUGCGGGAUGACGGUCUUCGGGUUGUAAACCGCUUUCGCCUGUGACGAAGCGUGAGGGACGGUAAUGGGUAAAGAAGCACCGGCGAACUACGU